AUCCUUUUGAAGUUCAUAAGCAUGGUGAUUGGGUUUUCACACUCAUGUGUGAGAUGUACCACCCGCAAAGCUUGUUAUGAUGUGGGCACAUUACCCAUCUGACA
This is a small nucleolar RNA of Chlorocebus sabaeus (green monkey), 104 nucleotides long. The record is from Ensembl. NCBI's taxonomy places the organism in Eukaryota, Metazoa, Chordata, Mammalia, Primates, Cercopithecidae.